RNAcentral lists this ribosomal RNA (431 nucleotides) under uncultured bacterium. Its description in RNAcentral is "bacterial SSU rRNA". It matches the Rfam family "Bacterial small subunit ribosomal RNA", at positions 28 to 455 of the family's 1533-position model. The record is from RNAcentral.
GACGAACGCUGGCGGCGUGCCUAACACAUGCAAGUCGAACGGGGUUACGGGAGCUUGCUCCUGUAACUUAGUGGCGAACGGGUGAGUAACGCGUGAGAAACCUGCCUUUCAGUGGGGGACAACAGUUGGAAACGACUGCUAAUACCGCAUAAUGUAUCCGGAGGGCAUCCUCUGGAUACCAAAGCUUUAUGUGCUGAAAGAUGGUCUCGCGUCUGAUUAGCUAGAUGGCGGGGUAACGGCCCACCAUGGCGACGAUCAGUAGCCGGUCUGAGAGGAUGAACGGCCACAUUGGGACUGAGAUACGGCCCAGACUCCUACGGGAGGCAGCAGUGGGGAAUAUUGGGCAAUGGGGGAAACCCUGACCCAGCAACGCCGCGUGAAGGAAGAAGGCCUUCGGGUUGGUAAACUUCUUUACCUAGGACGAAGAACGU